AAGCUCAGGAGGGAUAGCACCAUGAAUACAUCUUAAUAACUAUCUAUAGCGCUAUCCAUCUUGAGUUUUA
Solanum tuberosum (potato) is the source of this 70-nucleotide non-coding RNA. The record is from RefSeq and is marked provisional. NCBI's taxonomy places the organism in Eukaryota, Viridiplantae, Streptophyta, Magnoliopsida, Solanales, Solanaceae.